RNAcentral lists this ribosomal RNA (489 nucleotides) under uncultured bacterium. RNAcentral's name for it is "bacterial SSU rRNA". It matches the Rfam family "Bacterial small subunit ribosomal RNA", at positions 30 to 509 of the family's 1533-position model. The record is from RNAcentral.
AUUGAACGCUGGCGGCAUGCUUUACACAUGCAAGUCGAACGGCAGCACGGGAGCUUGCUCCUGGUGGCGAGUGGCGAACGGGUGAGUAAUGCAUCGGAACGUACCCAGUAGUGGGGGAUAGCCCGGCGAAAGCCGGAUUAAUACCGCAUAUUUCCUGAGGGAGAAAGCGGGGGGACCUUCGGGCCUCGCGCUACUGGAGCGGCUGAUGUCGGAUUAGCUAGUUGGUGAGGUAAAGGCUCACCAAGGCGACGAUCCGUAGCUGGUCUGAGAGGAUGAUCAGCCACACUGGGACUGAGACACGGCCCAGACUCCUACGGGAGGCAGCAGUGGGGAAUUUUGGACAAUGGGGGCAACCCUGAUCCAGCCAUGCCGCGUGAGUGAAGAAGGCCUGAGGGUUGUAAAGCACUUUCAAUCGUGAAGAAAAGUCACAGGCUAAUACCCUGUGACCUUGACGUUAACGAUACAAGAAGCACCGGCUAACUCCGUGCC